Molecule: ribosomal RNA, 250 nt
Filed under: uncultured prokaryote
Description: partial 16S ribosomal RNA
Rfam family: Bacterial small subunit ribosomal RNA
Source: RNAcentral
UACGUAGGGGGCGAGCGUUGUCCGGAAUGAUUGGGCGUAAAGGGCGCGCAGGCGGCCCGGUAAGUCUGGAGUGAAAGUCCUAUUUUCAAGAUGGGAAUUGCUUUGGAUACUGUCGGGCUUGAGUGCAGGAGAGGUAAGUGGAAUUCCCAGUGUAGCGGUGAAAUGCGUAGAGAUUGGGAGGAACACCAGUGGCGAAGGCGACUUACUGGACUGUAACUGACGUUGAGGCUCGAAAGCGUGGGGAGCAAAC